GAUGAACGCUGGCGGCGUGCCUAAUACAUGCAAGUCGAGCGAACAGACGAGGAGCUUGCUCCUCUGACGUUAGCGGCGGACGGGUGAGUAACACGUGGAUAACCUACCUAUAAGACUGGGAUAACUUCGGGAAACCGGAGCUAAUACCGGAUAAUAUAUUGAACCGCAUGGUUCAAUAGUGAAAGACGGUUUUGCUGUCACUUAUAGAUGGAUCCGCGCCGCAUUAGCUAGUUGGUAAGGUAACGGCUUACCAAGGCAACGAUGCGUAGCCGACCUGAGAGGGUGAUCGGCCACACUGGAACUGAGACACGGUCCAGACUCCUACGGGAGGCAGCAGUAGGGAAUCUUCCGCACUGGGCGAAAGCUUGACGGAGCAACGCCGCGUGAGUGAUGAAGGUCUUCGGAUCGUAACGCUCUGUUAUUAGGGAAGAACAAAUGUGUAAGUAACUAUGCACGUCUUGACGGUACCUAAUCAGAAAGCCACGGCUAACUACGUG
This 497-nucleotide ribosomal RNA is filed under the name uncultured bacterium. RNAcentral's name for it is "partial 16S ribosomal RNA". It matches the Rfam family "Bacterial small subunit ribosomal RNA", at positions 28 to 507 of the family's 1533-position model. The record is from RNAcentral.